GGGCGCUUAGCUCAGUGGAAGAGCGCAUCCUUCACACGGAUGAGGCCGCAGGUUCGAGCCCUGCAGCGCCCACCA
RNAcentral lists this transfer RNA (75 nucleotides) under Armatimonadetes bacterium RBG_16_67_12. Its description in RNAcentral is "tRNA-Val". It matches the Rfam family "tRNA". Rfam says of the family: Transfer RNA (tRNA) molecules are approximately 80 nucleotides in length. Their secondary structure includes four short double-helical elements and three loops (D, anti-codon, and T loops). The record is from RNAcentral. Lineage: Bacteria; Bacillati; Armatimonadota.